GGGUACUGUACUAAACUAACUAAAGUGGGGGAUAGUGAGGGGAUAAAUUUUCUUAAGGAACUCGGCAAAAUCCCAAUGGCCCACCAGGGCAUAUUGGAACACGGGCCUCGACUGUUUACCAAAAACAUAGCCCUCGGCUAAUAUGAAAAUAGAUGUAUAGAGGGUGAUGCCUGCCCAAUGGUUGUAUCUAAAAGCGGUUGAUAAAAGUUGACCUCGUAAGGACAAUUGAAUGGCCGCGGUAACACUGACCGUGAUAAUGUAGCGUAAUCAAUAGCCAAUUAAUUGUUGGCCAGUAUGAAUGGCGCCACGAAGGCCCCACUGUCUUAAGGAAAUUCCCAGUGAAAUUGAAUUCGUAGUGAAGAUGCUACGUCCAAUUUGUUAGACGAAAAGACCCCGUUGAGCUUUACUGGAGCACUUACAUGGCCCCGGCCUUCCCAUGCCUGGGAACCGGCCGAAUUUAAAUGGGCGGCUUAGAUUAUGUGGCAGCCCCCCGCUGGGGCAAAUGAAACACCACUCCCCCAUGUCAAAGGGGCUAACCCCCCCCCCUUGGGGGGACAGUGUAAGUAGGACAGUUUGGUUGGGGCGACCACCUUUUAAAAAGUAACGAAGGUGCGCUUAAGGUGCGCAAUUAAUGACUGAAGCCUGACUGCGAGGGGGACACCCCGAGCAGACACCCCAAAGCCCGCCCGAAAGGCGCCGGUGGGGUGGGCCAUAGUGACCCGUUAAUUUAGAGUGGAAUAGUUAACGAUCAACGAAUAAAAGUUACCACGGGGAUAACAGCGUAAUAUCGUUAGAGAGUUCACAUCGACGACGAUGUUUGCGACCUCGAUGUUGAAUUGCGGCAUCCUGGG
RNAcentral lists this ribosomal RNA (851 nucleotides) under Zoanthus pulchellus. RNAcentral's name for it is "partial 16S ribosomal RNA". It matches the Rfam family "Bacterial large subunit ribosomal RNA", at positions 1637 to 2551 of the family's 2925-position model. The record is from RNAcentral. Lineage: Eukaryota; Metazoa; Cnidaria; Anthozoa; Zoantharia; Zoanthidae.